CUACGGGUCGCUCCAGUGGGGAAUUUUGCGCAAUGGGGGAAACCCUGACGCAGCAAUACCGCGUGAGUGAAGAAGGCCUUUGGGUCGUAAAGCUCUUUUCUUGGGGAAGUUAGUGACGGUACCCAAGGAAUAAGCACCGGCUAACUCCGUGCCAGCAGCCGCGGUAAUACGGAGGGUGCAAGCGUUGUUCGGAUUUACUGGGCGUAAAGGGCACGUAGGCGGCACAGCAAGUUAAGGGUGAAAGCCCGGGGCUCAACUCCGGAACUGCUCUUAAAACUGCUGAGCUAGAGAUAGUCAGAGGCGGGUGGAAUUCCAGGUGUAGAGGUGAAAUUCGUAGAUAUCUGGAGGAACACCGGUGGCGAAGGCGGCCCGCUGGGGCUAUUCUGACGCUAAGGUGCGAAAGCGUGGGGAGCAAACGGGAUUAGAUACCCGUGUAGUC
This 439-nucleotide ribosomal RNA is filed under the name uncultured bacterium. RNAcentral's name for it is "partial 16S ribosomal RNA". It matches the Rfam family "Bacterial small subunit ribosomal RNA", at positions 339 to 795 of the family's 1533-position model. The record is from RNAcentral.